This 84-nucleotide transfer RNA is filed under the name Vibrio phage vB_VcorM_GR11A. Its description in RNAcentral is "tRNA-Cys". It matches the Rfam family "tRNA". Rfam says of the family: Transfer RNA (tRNA) molecules are approximately 80 nucleotides in length. Lineage: Duplodnaviria; Heunggongvirae; Uroviricota; Caudoviricetes. The record is from RNAcentral.
GGCGUGGUAGCACAAUUGGUUAGUGCAUCAGGGUGCACCGUUAACGGACUGAGGGUCGCUGGUUCGAGUCCAGCCCACGCCACC